This is a long non-coding RNA of Juglans microcarpa x Juglans regia, 532 nucleotides long. RefSeq lists it as uncharacterized. Lineage: Eukaryota; Viridiplantae; Streptophyta; Magnoliopsida; Fagales; Juglandaceae. The transcript has 4 exons. The record is from RefSeq and is a predicted model, not a curated record.
UCUUGAUGGAGCUAAUUACUUGAGCCCAGCAACUUAGACAUCUCUUUGCCUUUGAAGAGUACCCAGAUAUAAAAAAUGGCAUCACUCAAGUCUCAGAAACCUGCCGCCACUCAACCACCUGCACCAGCCCUCAAAGAGGUUUCUGCUCCUAAAACUUGCCGGACAUGUAAAUCCACCAGCACACCCGCACCCGCACCCUCGCCCACGCCCACAGGCGGCACAUCCGUAGCAUAUCCCACAUCGAAAGCUGCUCCUACCUCCAAGCCAACCUCUGGCAAGAAGGGAGCAAAAGCGAAGUAAGCAUGCAGCCGAUGAAAAAGGAGAAUAAAUGAGGAAGACAAGGCUUGGGUUUGAAGGAUUCAUCAUCAGAUAAUUAAUCUCAAUUCAUGCCAGUCUGCCUCAAUGCUUACUAAUUAUAUUAGAGAAGCUGCUUGUCUAUAUAAUAUCCAUCAUGUGGACUCCUAAAAUAAAAAUAAAAAUACUCUUAAGUUGAUCUAAAAAAUAAAAAAAAAAAUAAAAACUUAGUUCGAAA